AUACGUAGGUGGCAAGCGUUGUCCGGAAUUACUGGGUGUAAAGGAUGCGUAGGCGGAUAUGUAAGUCAGAUGUGAAACCCCCGGGCUUAACCCGGGGCAUGCAUUUGAGACUGCAUAUCUAGAGUGCAGGAGAGGAAAGCGGAAUUCCUAGUGUAGCGGUGAAAUGCGUAGAUAUUAGGAAGAACACCAGUGGCGAAGGCGGCUUUCUGGACUGUAACUGACGCUGAUGCAUGAAAGCGUGGGGAGCAAACAGGAUUAGAUACCCUGGUAGUCCACGCCGUAAACGAUGGGUACUAGGUGUGGGAGGUAUCGACCCCUUCCGUGCCGCAGUAAACACAAUAAGUACCCCACCUGGGGAGUACGGUCGCAAGAUUAA
This 376-nucleotide ribosomal RNA is filed under the name uncultured bacterium. RNAcentral describes it as "bacterial SSU rRNA". It matches the Rfam family "Bacterial small subunit ribosomal RNA", at positions 523 to 897 of the family's 1533-position model. The record is from RNAcentral.